Molecule: transfer RNA, 72 nt
Filed under: Methanoplanus limicola DSM 2279
Lineage: Archaea; Methanobacteriati; Methanobacteriota; Methanomicrobia; Methanomicrobiales; Methanomicrobiaceae
Rfam family: tRNA
About the family: Transfer RNA (tRNA) molecules are approximately 80 nucleotides in length. Their secondary structure includes four short double-helical elements and three loops (D, anti-codon, and T loops). Further hydrogen bonds mediate the characteristic L-shaped molecular structure. tRNAs have two regions of fundamental functional importance: the anti-codon, which is responsible for specific mRNA codon recognition, and the 3' end, to which the tRNAs corresponding amino acid is attached (by aminoacyl-tRNA synthetases). tRNAs cope with the degeneracy of the genetic code in two manners: having more than one tRNA (with a specific anti-codon) for a particular amino acid; and 'wobble' base-pairing, i.e. permitting non-standard base-pairing at the 3rd anti-codon position.
Source: Rfam by way of RNAcentral
GCCUCUGUGGCAUAGCGGUAUUGCGCCACCUUGGUAAGGUGGAGGCCGCGGGUUCGAUUCCCGCCAGAGGCU